Molecule: ribosomal RNA, 150 nt
Filed under: uncultured bacterium
Lineage: Bacteria
Description: partial 16S ribosomal RNA
Rfam family: Bacterial small subunit ribosomal RNA
Source: RNAcentral
GGCGCAGCCUGAUGCAGCACGCCGCGUGAGGGAUGACGGCCUUCGGGUUGUAACCUCUUUUAGCAGGGAAGAAGCGAGAGUGACGGUACCUGCAGAAUAAGCACCGGCUAACUACGUGCCAGCAGCCGCGGUAAUACGUAGGGUGCCAGC